AUGUGCAGCCGGGGUGUUAGCGGUACCUUAUACCUGCAAUCCGCUAUAGCAGGGGUGAUGUUACGCAGAGGGCCUGUAUUUGCAGAGCUGCCCUUGGAAAGUGGCGUUGAGGCCUGGGUCUUACGCGACGGGAAUCUGUGAACCGUGUCAGAUCGGGAACGAAGCAGCACUAAGCAGAAUCUCCCGGGUGCCGUAAGGGUGCCUGGACUGAGUUAACUGCCAAGGUAACGUCUGUGAAUAUAGGUUCGAAGCGUAACGCACAU
Non-coding RNA from Lachnospiraceae bacterium, 263 nucleotides. It matches the Rfam family "Bacterial large signal recognition particle RNA". Rfam says of the family: The signal recognition particle (SRP) is a universally conserved ribonucleoprotein involved in the co-translational targeting of proteins to membranes. The record is from Rfam. NCBI's taxonomy places the organism in Bacteria, Bacillati, Bacillota, Clostridia, Lachnospirales, Lachnospiraceae.